Molecule: ribosomal RNA, 303 nt
Filed under: uncultured bacterium
Lineage: Bacteria
Description: partial 16S ribosomal RNA
Rfam family: Bacterial small subunit ribosomal RNA
Source: RNAcentral
AGCAGUAGCCACGGUAAUACAGAGGGUGCGAGCGUUAAUCGGAUUUACUGGGCGUAAAGCGUGCGUAGGCGGCUUUUUAAGUCGGAUGUGAAAUCCCUGAGCUUAACUUAGGAAUUGCAUUCGAUACUGGGAAGCUAGAGUAUGGGAGAGGAUGGUAGAAUUCCAGGUGUAGCGGUGAAAUGCGUAGAGAUCUGGAGGAAUACCGAUGGCGAAGGCAGCCAUCUGGCCUAAUACUGACGCUGAGGUACGAAAGCAUGGGGAGCAAACAGGAUUAGAUACCCCGGUAGUCCCUGUCUCUUAUAC